CCUACGGGGGGCUGCAGUGGGGAAUAUUGCACAAUGGGCGAAAGCCUGAUGCAGCGACGCCGCGUGAGGGAUGAAGGCCUUCGGGUUGUAAACCUCUUUCAGCAGGGAAGCGGUACCUGCAGAAGAAGCACCGGCUAACUACGUGCCAGCAGCCGCGGUAAUACGUAGGGUGCGAGCGUUGUCCGGAAUUAUUGGGCGUAAAGAGCUUGUAGGCGGUUUGUCGCGUCUGCCGUGAAAAUCCGAGGCUCAACCUCGGACUUGCGGUGGGUACGGGCAGACUAGAGUGUGGUAGGGGAGACUGGAAUUCCUGGUGUAGCGGUGAAAUGCGCAGAUAUCAGGAGGACACCGAUGGCGAAGGCAGUCUCUGGGCCACACUGACGCUGAGAAGCGAAAGCGGGGGAGCGAACAGGAUUAGUACCCUUGUAGUC
Molecule: ribosomal RNA, 428 nt
Filed under: uncultured bacterium
Lineage: Bacteria
Description: partial 16S ribosomal RNA
Rfam family: Bacterial small subunit ribosomal RNA
Source: RNAcentral